This 370-nucleotide unclassified non-coding RNA is filed under the name uncultured fungus. RNAcentral describes it as "sequence contains ITS1". The record is from RNAcentral. Lineage: Eukaryota; Fungi.
UUAACUAUUAUAUAGUACUCAGACGACAAAUUACAAAGAGUGUUGGGUCCUCUGGCAUGCACUGACCAGCAAAAGCCGGUGGUCAUUAAGACGGGCCUGCCAAAGCAACAAAGGUAUUAUAAACAAAGGGUGGGAGAUAUACCCCAAAGGGCAUUUUCUCUGUAAUGAUCCUUCCGCAGGUUCCACAAAUAAAGGGUUCGCUAGAACCAGUGCUCGAUCAUAUCUUAACCCAUAGGGGCCACCUCUAUUUGACCUGUGAACUCAACUAAAUGAGCCGCUAGUAAUACAAAUGUAAAUCCUAGCAGGGUAGAGAUGUUGCCUAUUAACAUAGACUUUUACAAGCGUAGGCAAACCUAAUGACCUACGGAAA